GGCAUCGGCGAGCGCUCGGCUCGUGACGGACGGCGUUCGCGUCGCCCGCACAGUCGGUCGCCGCCGCGUGUCGAACGCGUGCACUUCUCCUCUUGUAGGACGUCGCGAUCCGUUGGGUGCCGGUCUAAGGCCCGCGGUGGAGCCCGUGCGAGCGUUUCGGCGUCUCGUGCGGACCCGCGGUGUCCCGGCCGGCUCGCCCGACGGUAUGCUUGUGGCGCUGGGCCGCGAUUCGUUCGCGUCCGGCCCGGUGCAAGUGCGGACUACGUUGUGGAAUUCGGACCUAGUGCCGGAUCCGCGCCAGUCCGCCUGUUGGCGCCGGUGCCCUCGGACGGUCCAGAUGAGCGCCGAUCGGCGACGCUAUAGCUUUGGGUACUUUCAGGACCCGUCUUGAAACACGGACCAAGGAGUCUAGCAUGUGCGCGAGUCAUUGGGACUAGCGAAACCUAAAGGCAAAAUGAAAGUGAAGGCACGCUUUAGCGGGCCGAGGGAGGAUGGGUCGCGUCACGACGCGGCCCCGCACUCCCGGGGCGUUUCGUUCUCAUUGCGAGAUGAGGCGCACCCAGAGCGUACACGCUGGGACCCGAAAGAUG
RNAcentral lists this ribosomal RNA (590 nucleotides) under Tropicus lituratus. RNAcentral's name for it is "eukaryotic LSU rRNA". The stretch from base 399 to 590 matches the Rfam family "Eukaryotic large subunit ribosomal RNA", at positions 665 to 825 of the family's 3401-position model. Lineage: Eukaryota; Metazoa; Arthropoda; Insecta; Coleoptera; Heteroceridae. The record is from RNAcentral.